Amborella trichopoda is the source of this 2121-nucleotide non-coding RNA. Lineage: Eukaryota; Viridiplantae; Streptophyta; Magnoliopsida; Amborellales; Amborellaceae. The record is from RefSeq and is a predicted model, not a curated record.
GUACUUGGCAUGUGUUUUGGACCUCAUAGGCCAUCUCCAUUGAAGCUCGAAAAUUUGUACUGUGUGCUCAAGUUCGAAAUAACAGAGAAAAUGAACAAGCAACAUCCACCUGGAAGUGGACGAAAUAAAAGAGAAAAUGAACAAAAAAAUCCCAGGGUGAAGGCAGAUAAAUCAGAAUUUGGUUGAAUAUAAUGGCUUAGAGGUUACAGCAGGAGUCUCAGGUUUUUGGGGGUAAAUCAACAUUGAUGAUGUUAGAUGCAUGGAGAAGAGGCCAAGCUCUCUCUGUUUUUUCCUCUGCUCUUAAUUUAGAGCCUAAGUUCUCUCUCUCCCACUACAAAAUCCCUUUGGAGAAAAAAAAGAAAAAAGAAAAACUCCCAAAACAAAAAACCUCGGAUUCUAAUCCCUUGAAGGAACCUGUCUCUCAAAGUGCUAAUAUUGAAGAAAUUUGAGUUUGAUUAAACCAGAAAGUAUCCAAUCGACCAAAUGCUCAAGCAUCAGACCUUUUAGCGAUUAAAAUGUCAUAUGCUUCCACAAGAAGUGUUUGCACUUCUAAAAGGAAGAGGAAUGAAGGUCAAUCUUCAAGAGCAAGGGGGUCCGCUCAAAGGCAAGAUGCCAUUUCAGUUGGUCAUCAAUGGGUUGCUGCUGUUGGUUCACUAUCGUCUUCAGUGGAUCGGAUGUUGGAUCAUUUAUUCCUCUUCCAGACACGAUGCAUGGAAGCAGUUGCUGAUGUUUAUAAGGAUGAUGGCAUGGAUCACAUCAAGGCUGUGGACUUGUUUGUAGAUCCUAUGAACGCUUGAAUUUUUUUAUCCAUCGAUCCGUAGUAUUGUAAAAUGUGGUUCCAAACGCAUGUCCCCCAUGAUUAGUUUCAUAGGUUGCUUGUUUUUUGAACUCUGGCUCUUGAAUCCCUGUUAUAUUAGGGAGGGAACUUUAAAUGUCUUUCAUAACUUGUAUGUAGAAGAUGGUUGGUUUGCAAGUCUUAUGUAGUUGGUUUAUAGUUUCCUCUUGACUUUGUGGUUGAUUGUAUGGAUGACUGUAUUUUUUCCUUCUAUUUGUGAAAUUGUUGAUAUUUAUGUGGAUGGUGGUUAAUGUAGGUGUUUAUGUGAUUGAUUUUUAAUUUCCUUCUAUUUGUGAAUUUUUAUGUGGAUGAUGGUUGAUUGGAUAUUAUGUGCUCGAUUUAUAAUUCCCUAUUGUCGUUUUGGAGUAUUUGUUGAAUGGUUCCGUUAAGGAUUUGACCGUCAAUAUGGAUCCAUCUGAUCUAUAUGACAUCUAUAUCAGAUAUUAUGUUGCAUAUGUAGCCACCUUGUGUUGUGUAUGAUAUUAUUACCAAUUCUUGAUACCAAGGAAUCUAGUUCACACUUGUUAUUUCACUGAUGCUGUAUUUAUUUUAUAUUUACUUGAGUCCCAUCAGUACAAUUGUUUCAAUUUGUUGCGGAUGGAUAUGAAUGCCUUUCUAGGCUUGUGUAGAAUUUCAAAAUAAGGCAAUCCACUUCAUAAUUCACAGUACAUGAUGGUAGAGGAACAAGUUGCCAUAUUCCUGUACACAGUUGCACAUAAUGAGUGUACUAGGGUGAUGCAAAUUCAAUUUCAACAGACUAUUAGUUAUUACGUCAACAAAGUCCUAAAUACAAUAUUGGGACUGGCCCCAUAGUUUAUCAUCCUUGCCCCAAGUGAAACACAUGACGCAAUCAGAAAGAAGAAGAAAUUCUUCCCAAUUUUCAAGGUGAACAUUGUGUAGAUCAUCUUAUAUUUAAAAAAUGAUGAUGGUAUUCUUUAUCAUUGCUUACAAGGGCAUGUCUUCUUAGGAUUAUGUUGGAGAGCUGGAUGGGACCCACAUUCCUGCUUGGGUUCCCACUUCCCAGCAAAAAUGAUAUCGUAAUCGGAAGAGGGAGCUAUCUCAUAAUAUUUUGGCUACAGUUAACUUGACAUGUAUUUCACAUAUGUGCUAGUGGGUUAGAAAGGUUUUGCGGCGGACUCUAGAAUUCUAUGUUAUGCAAUUGAGAGGGAUAUGCAUCUAUUACCAGUGCCUCAAGAAAGUAUUACAUUGUGGAUGCAAGUUACCCCACUACAUGUGGAUUCAUUUCCCCAGAUCGGUAGCCAAAGUAUCACCUUAGUGAGACCUAG